RNAcentral lists this small nuclear RNA (107 nucleotides) under Dasypus novemcinctus (nine-banded armadillo). The record is from RNAcentral. Lineage: Eukaryota; Metazoa; Chordata; Mammalia; Cingulata; Dasypodidae.
GUGCUUUCUUUGGCAGCACAUAUACUAAAAUUGGAACGAUACAGAGAAAAUUAGCAUGGCCCCUCUGCAAGGAUGACACCCAAAUUUGUGACGCAUUCCAUGUUUUU